AACGAACGCUGGCGGCAGGCCUAACACAUGCAAGUCGAGCGAGCAUUUCGGUGCUAGCGGCGGACGGGUGAGUAACGCGUGGGAACGUGCCCUUUUCUGCGGAAUAGUCCUGGGAAACUGGGGGUAAUACCGCAUACGCCCUUUUGGGGAAAGAUUUAUCGGAGAAGGAUCGGCCCGCGUGGGAUUAGGUAGUUGGUGGGGUAAUGGCCCACCAAGCCGACGAUCCAUAGCUGGUUUGAGAGGAUGAUCAGCCACACUGGGACUGAGACACGGCCCAGACUCCUACGGGAGGCAGCAGUGGGGAAUCUUAGACAAUGGGGGCAACCCUGAUCUAGCCAUGCCGCGUGAGUGAUGAAGGCCUUAGGGUUGCAAAGCUCUUUCAGCUGGGAAGAUAAUGACGGUACCAGCAGAAGAAGCCACGGCUAACUCCGUG
RNAcentral lists this ribosomal RNA (433 nucleotides) under uncultured bacterium. RNAcentral's name for it is "partial 16S ribosomal RNA". It matches the Rfam family "Bacterial small subunit ribosomal RNA", at positions 29 to 507 of the family's 1533-position model. The record is from RNAcentral.